GCCUUGUGAGAAACUACUUCCACUUCCUUUGCAGCCAGUGCAGUUAACCAGAGAAAUUAGUGCUUAAUAUGAUGGUAGAAUGGUGAUAGACCAUGGUCCAUGUGCUGUCCUAAAGUAAUGAACUACUCCAUAGCUGGACAUGUGUAUGUGUAGGUAAGGCAGAAUAACAUUUUGCACACAAAAGCAGGAUUUUCCCAACCUUAUUUGAAGCAGCCUCCCUAUUCUGACUAUAAAAUUUCCCAUUGUAUUUGAAAGAAAUGACAAUUUCUUCCCCAGGUUGCACCCCACGAAAUUCUCUGGCCGAGAUGAAUCCUGCCACAGCGUGUCUGGAAGAAGCAGCGCCUCGGGGGAGCUGUGAGGAGCUGCAGGGAAGUGUCCUCUGUGACCACAAGAAGAGUGCAUGCUGCCUGGUGCUGAUGUGGUUCACCAAAAACUCGGGCUGCUCCUUUACCAGGGACCAUGAGACCACAGUUGUAGUCCAGGGGAAGUGGUGGCCCCUUCAACGGUGCUUGAAGAUGCUCUCUGGAAGAGAGGAGUCUCCCCAUCCCCAGGAGCAAGGUACUGCCCAUUCUCAUACAUUUGCCUUGGCCAUUUCAGAGGAGGAAAGGCCAACAUUUCUCCAUAGUUAAUGAUUUCUUGUCCUCCUCAGUGCUCAAAGUUAUUGGUUGGCAAAGACUCUGAGAGCUAAAGAUGGUGGUAACAGAGCAGGCACUUAAAGUGAGCAGCAUUUCCCUGGGAUGUGAGAGCAGGUGAUCCCCUUGAUGGGACUAACAGGGUACCAUUUCUUAUCUAAUCAGUAAUUAUCUGGGCUAUAUGAUUAGGGUGUCUGGGGUUAGAAACUGCUUCACAGAAUGAACUUUCUCUUACUGGGUUUUGGAGCAGGCAGGUGAGAAGUAGAAUGACUGUGAAUGGUUCGUUGUUUUAAACUGUGUAAUCUUGGCUGUGCAUUUGUGGAGGUUUUGGUGCCUGGGGAGUAUCAGAAACAGAUUCUGGACAUUCACCGCACAUCCAAAAGGCUUGAGUGGUGGAGACUCAAAUGUCCCAUAGCAAUAGUUAGAAGGAAAGAAAUGUGCCCACAGCACCAGUCAUGUAUGAGAUGGGAAAAUUGUAAAAGUUGACGCUGAAGUCAAAAUUCCAAAAUAUUGCAGCAACCUGAGGAGAAAAAAACCCCACAUUUUCAGAAGUCAAAUUCUCAAAGCAGCUUAUAGAAAGCCUGAAAGCUGACACUCAGUGAUUUACAGGAACCUGAUCGUGAGGGAGCUGGAGAUGUUCAGCCUGGAGAAAAGGAGGCUGAGGGGAGACCUUCUCGCUCUCUCCAACUCCCUGAAAGGAGGGUGUAGCCAGGGGGGGUCGGUCUCUUCUCCCAAGGAACAGGCGAUGGGACAAGAGGAAACAGCCUCAAGUUGCACCAGGGGAGGUUCAGAUUGGAGAUUAGGAAAAAUUUCUCCACUGA
This 1453-nucleotide long non-coding RNA is filed under the name Calidris pugnax (ruff). Its description in RNAcentral is "lncRNA (ENSCPUG00000006370.1)". The record is from RNAcentral. Lineage: Eukaryota; Metazoa; Chordata; Aves; Charadriiformes; Scolopacidae.